GAUGAACGCUGGCGGCGUGCCUAAUACAUGCAAGUCGAGCGAACAGACGAGGAGCUUGCUCCUCUGACGUUAGCGGCGGACGGGUGAGUAACACGUGGAUAACCUACCUAUAAGACUGGGAUAACUUCGGGAAACCGGAGCUAAUACCGGAUAAUAUAUUGAACCGCAUGGUUCAAUAGUGAAAGACGGUUUUGCUGUCACUUAUAGAUGGAUCCGCGCCGCAUUAGCUAGUUGGUAAGGUAACGGCUUACCAAGGCAACGAUGCGUAGCCGACCUGAGAGGGUGAUCGGCCACACUGGAACUGAGACACGGUCCAGACUCCUACGGGAGGCAGCAGUAGGGAAUCUUCCGCAAUGGGCGAAAGCCCGACGGAGCAACGCCGCGUGAGUGGUGAAGGUCUUCGGAUCGUAAAACUCUGUUAUUAGGGAAGAACAAAUGUGUAAGUAACUAUGCACGUCUUGACGGUACCUAAUCAGAAAGCCACGGCUAACUACGUG
Molecule: ribosomal RNA, 497 nt
Filed under: uncultured bacterium
Lineage: Bacteria
Description: partial 16S ribosomal RNA
Rfam family: Bacterial small subunit ribosomal RNA
Source: RNAcentral